Molecule: transfer RNA, 73 nt
Filed under: Methanobacteriota archaeon
Lineage: Archaea; Methanobacteriati; Methanobacteriota
Also listed under: 1 other name
Description: Euryarchaeota archaeon tRNA-Gln
Rfam family: tRNA
About the family: Transfer RNA (tRNA) molecules are approximately 80 nucleotides in length. Their secondary structure includes four short double-helical elements and three loops (D, anti-codon, and T loops).
Source: RNAcentral
AGUCCCUUAGUGUAGAGGUCCAUCAUGAAGGAUUCUGGUUCCUUCGACCCCGGUUCGAAUCCGGGAGGGACUA